Molecule: ribosomal RNA, 274 nt
Filed under: uncultured bacterium
Lineage: Bacteria
Description: partial 16S ribosomal RNA
Rfam family: Bacterial small subunit ribosomal RNA
Source: RNAcentral
AUACGGAGGGCGCAAGCGUUGCCCGGAAUCACUGGGUGUAAAGGGUGCGUAGGCGGGGCUGUAAGUCAGAGGUGAAAGCCCUCGGCUCAACCGGGGAAUUGCCUCUGAUACUGCAGCCCUUGAGUCCCGGAGAGGCCGCUGGAAUUCCUGGUGUAGCGGUGAAAUGCGUAGAUAUCAGGAGGAACACCGGAGGCGAAGGCGGGCGGCUGGACGGGGACUGACGCUGAGGCACGAAAGCGUGGGGAGCAAACAGGAGUAGAAACCCUAGUAGUCC